GAUUGUCAGGUUGCAUCUGAAAAUUUUUUUAUGAUAAGAUAACAUAAAUUUUAUGUUUACUUGAUAUACCGCAGAAUAGGAAUCAAAAUCUUCAGAAAAACUUAAAUCUGAUGUCUCACGAAGUCUGAAUGUACAGACCCUCUCUUCGUAUGCACGCCAAGCUCGGCAGGAAAGAUGAAUAAAGCCUUGUGCAUCAAUCUUCAGAAGGGAAGCA
This 214-nucleotide long non-coding RNA is filed under the name Elaeis guineensis (African oil palm). RNAcentral describes it as "long non-coding RNA (EGUI_LNC007307)". The record is from RNAcentral. Lineage: Eukaryota; Viridiplantae; Streptophyta; Magnoliopsida; Arecales; Arecaceae.